ACUCCUACGGGAGGCAGCAGUGGGGAAUAUUGCACAAUGGGCGCAAGCCUGAUGCAGCCAUGCCGCGUGUGUGAAGAAGGCCUUCGGUUGUAAAGCACUUUCAGUCGUGAGGAAGGUAGUGUAGUUAAUAGCUGCAUUAUUUGUACGUUAGCGACAGAAGAAGCACCGGCUAACUCCGUGCCAGCAGCCGCGGUAAUACGGAGGGGUGCGAGCGUUAAUCGGAAUUACUGGGCGUAAAGCGCAUGCAGGUGGUUUGUUAAGUCAGAUGUGAAAGCCCGGGGCUCAACCUCGGAAUAGCAUUUGAAACUGGCAGACUAGAGUACUGUAGAGGGGGUAGAAUUUCAGGUGUAGCGGUGAAAUGCGUAGAGAUCUGAAGGAAUACCGGUGGCGAAGGCGGCCCCCUGGACAGAUACUGACACUCAGAUGCGAAAGCGUGGGGAGCAAACAGGAUUAGAUAACCUGGUGGAUAGCG
RNAcentral lists this ribosomal RNA (472 nucleotides) under uncultured bacterium. RNAcentral describes it as "bacterial SSU rRNA". It matches the Rfam family "Bacterial small subunit ribosomal RNA", at positions 335 to 799 of the family's 1533-position model. The record is from RNAcentral.